CUGGGGCCUCAGCUGUCCCAGCUGCACCAGCCGAGCUGGGGCCAGGGCUUUCUGCGUUCUGGGUGUGGCACCCCUCCAGGGCUGCGUGUCUGUUUUGCAUACUGAGGUACUAGGUAAGGCUUCCUUUGAGACCAGGAUGUUUGCUACAAACCUGCUGGAAAGCCACUGGCCUUCUUUUCCAGGGCUGACCCUCUCUUUCUCCACGAGCCGCAGGAACCCGGUUCCAAGGUGCUUUACGAAGAGAAAUGUAUUUUGCUUUUCCUCCUCUCAAGAAGGCAAGUCAUGCUUGUUCUCCUGGAGGACUGGGGCAUCCCACUUCCUCCUCCACUGGAAAAGAAACUAAGAGAGGAGCUUUGUUUAUUUUAUUAUUUCUCCAGCGCUUGGAGCAGAGCUGGGUAUAUGGUAAGUACUCAGUAAAUAUUUCUGAACAAAUGAAAUGUCUUC
Molecule: long non-coding RNA, 444 nt
Filed under: Dasypus novemcinctus (nine-banded armadillo)
Lineage: Eukaryota; Metazoa; Chordata; Mammalia; Cingulata; Dasypodidae
Description: lncRNA (ENSDNOG00000051529.1)
Source: RNAcentral